AAAAUGAAGAUAAAUUCUUUGUAUUGAUCAAAAUUCCCCUCCUUACAUGAUUUUUGAAUGGCUUUUUAUAGCCAUCUUUUACAUGAUUUUCUAUUAUCUUUUUUCUAUUUUGUAGAUGAUGGUGGCAGACAAUGGAUAUCAAAAAUGGGAGGAAAAAUGGGGCAAGUGGGAAAGUGGCUAGGUGGCUAGAGUUUCUUGGUUUUUUUGGGGGUUAGGUUUUUUUUGGGGGGGGCUUAAUGGGCUUUUGAAUUGGGUUUAAUAUUUGGGUUUUGUAAUGGGUUUGGGUAGAUGUAAAUGGGUCAUGGGUUAAGGGUUUUAGUGGGUUUAGAGGUUUGGUUGGGUUUUGAUGUAAUUGGGCCCGGGCAAUUUGGGCUUCUACACGUGUGGAGCGGAUGUUUCUGGUUGGCUGAAGUAUAGACAUUUACGACCAUGGUCAAUAAGAAAUUUAUUUGCGGAUAUUGAAGAAGGAUUACGGCAUCUGGUGGAGAUAAAGUUUGUGGUCACAAAUAGUCAAAAGAAUGGUGUGGCUAAUUCAUUGGCAAACGUUGGAUUGUUCAGGAAUCACUUUUUUAAAGCUUAUUGGUAAUCUUUUGUUUCUUGGUGAUUUGUAUUAGUGCACUCUACUUGCUGUUAUAUUUCUUUGUAGGUUGUAGUACUAUUUUUUGUAGCUCUGUUGAUUAGACAUGAGUUGGAAAUUUUUAUUAUUCUAUUUUACUUAUAAUCAAUUGAUUGAGCUAAAAAAAAUAAUUAUUAUGACUUUCUCGCAUGGUAAACUCCUUCAGGUUGAUGUAAGUUUGUUAUAGUAAUGUUAUUUUAUAUCAAUUAAAUAAAUUUGUAAUUAUUUAUGGUC
Long non-coding RNA from Gossypium arboreum, 850 nucleotides. RefSeq lists it as uncharacterized. The transcript has 2 exons. The record is from RefSeq and is a predicted model, not a curated record. NCBI's taxonomy places the organism in Eukaryota, Viridiplantae, Streptophyta, Magnoliopsida, Malvales, Malvaceae.